This 497-nucleotide ribosomal RNA is filed under the name uncultured bacterium. Its description in RNAcentral is "partial 16S ribosomal RNA". It matches the Rfam family "Bacterial small subunit ribosomal RNA", at positions 28 to 507 of the family's 1533-position model. The record is from RNAcentral.
GAUGAACGCUGGCGGCGUGCCUAAUACAUGCAAGUCGAGCGGACAGACGAGGAGCUCUUUUCGGAGUGGAUAGCGGCGGACGGGUGAGUAACGCGUGGAUAACCUACCUCUAACAACCGGAUAACUUCGAGUAACCUCAGCAAAUCCCGGAUAAUAUCUCGAACUGCCCUGUCCACGCAUGAAAGACGGAGUUGAUGCCACCUAUGCGCUGUCCAUAGCUGGAUUAGCUGGUUGGUAAGGUAACGGCUUACCAAGGCAACGAUGCGUAGCCGACCUGAGAGGGUGAACGGCCACACUGGGACUGAGACACGGUCCAGACUCCUACGGGAGGCAGCAGUGGGGAAUCUUCCGCAAUGGGCGAAAGCCUGACGGAGCAAUGCCGCGUGAGUGAAGAAGGUCUUCGGAUCGUAAAACUCUGUUCUUAGCGAAGAACAAAUGUUUAAGUAACUGAGCACAUCUUGACGGUACCUGAUCAGAAAGCCCCGGCUAACUACGUG